UACGGAGGGUGCAAGCGUUGUCCGGAUUUAUUGGGUUUAAAGGGUGCGUAGGCGGCCUUUUAAGUCAGCGGUGAAAGUUUAGGGCUCAACCCUGAAAUUGCCGUUGAUACUGUAAGGCUUGAGUGUCGAUGGGGUACUUGGAAUUGAUGGUGUAGCGGUGAAAUGCAUAGAUACCAUCAGGAACACCGAUAGCGUAGGCAUUGUACUUACCGGCAACUGACGCUGAGGCACGAAAGUAUGGGUAGCGAAAGGG
This 253-nucleotide unclassified non-coding RNA is filed under the name uncultured Cyclobacteriaceae bacterium. Its description in RNAcentral is "contains 16S-23S intergenic spacer region". It matches the Rfam family "Bacterial small subunit ribosomal RNA", at positions 524 to 776 of the family's 1533-position model. Lineage: Bacteria; Pseudomonadati; Bacteroidota; Cytophagia; Cytophagales; Cyclobacteriaceae. The record is from RNAcentral.